GACCAGACUCCUACGGGAGGCAGCAGUGGGGGAUAUUGCACAAUGGAGGAAACUCUGAUGCAGCGACGCCGCGUGAGGGAAGACGGUCUUCGGAUUGUAAACCUCUGUCUUUGGGGAAGAAAAUGACGGUACCCAAAGAGGAAGCUCCGGCUAACUACGUGCCAGCAGCCGCGGUGAUACGGAGGAUGCGAGCGUUAUCCGGAUUUAUUGGGUUUAAAGGGUGCGCAGGCGGAAGAUUAAGUCAGUGGUAAAAUUGAGGGGCUCAACCUCUUCGAGCCGUUGAAACUGGUUUUCUUGAGUGAGCGAGAAGUAUGCGGAAUGCGUGGUGUAGCGGUGAAAUGCAUAGAUAUCACGCAGAACUCCGAUUGCGAAGGCAGCAUACCGGCGCUCAACUGACGCUCAUGCACGAAAGUGUGGGUAUCGAACAGGAUUAGAUACCCCAGUA
Molecule: ribosomal RNA, 445 nt
Filed under: uncultured bacterium
Lineage: Bacteria
Description: bacterial SSU rRNA
Rfam family: Bacterial small subunit ribosomal RNA
Source: RNAcentral